CAGAAGGUUACAAUACCUACAAACCACUGCGAACCGUUCCUUUUAGCUGCCUCGGCGGGGCAAUCCCAGGGCGGGAUUCCGGGCCUCCUUUGGGGGGCGCCCGCCGGCGGUGCGCACAUAUCUAGUUCUGUCUCUCAGCGGAUUUCUGAGUGAUUUUUAAAAAAACCUUUAAA
Molecule: unclassified non-coding RNA, 173 nt
Filed under: soil metagenome
Description: partial internal transcribed spacer 1
Source: RNAcentral